UACGUAGGGUCCGAGCGUUGUCCGGAAUUAUUGGGCGUAAAGAGCUCGUAGGCGGUUCAGUAAGUCGGGUGUGAAAACUCUGGGUUCAACCCAGAGACGCCACCCGAUACUGCUGUGACUUGAGUACGGUAGGGGAGUGGGGAAUUCCUGGUGUAGCGGUGAAAUGCGCAGAUAUCAGGAGGAACACCAGUGGCGAAGGCGCCACUCUGGGCCGUAACUGACGCUGAGGAGCGAAAGCGUGGGUAGCAAACAGG
This 254-nucleotide ribosomal RNA is filed under the name uncultured bacterium. RNAcentral's name for it is "partial 16S ribosomal RNA". It matches the Rfam family "Bacterial small subunit ribosomal RNA", at positions 524 to 776 of the family's 1533-position model. The record is from RNAcentral.